Molecule: RNA transcript, 1374 nt
Organism: Peromyscus maniculatus bairdii (prairie deer mouse)
Lineage: Eukaryota; Metazoa; Chordata; Mammalia; Rodentia; Cricetidae
Gene: Zswim7
Gene name: zinc finger SWIM-type containing 7
Source: RefSeq, a predicted model, not a curated record
CGCGGAGGAGAGACGCGCGCGGCGCGCCAUGGCCGCCACGCUGCCGGAGGUCGUGGAGGAGCUCCUGAGCGAGAUGGCCGCCGCCGUGCGGGACGGCGCGAGAAUUCCUGAUGAACACCUGUCAUCGCUGAAGUUUGUGUUUGGGUCGUCGGCCAUCCAGGCCUUGGACUUAGUUGAUCGAGAGUCUGUCACUUUAAUCUCGUCACCCAGUGGAAGACGUGUUUACCAGGUGCUUGGGAGUUCUGGCAAAACCUACACAUGCCUGGCUUCGUGCCACUACUGCUCAUGCCCAGCGUUUGCCUUCUCGGUGUUAAGGAAGGGCGACAGUCUGCUGUGCAAGCAUCUCCUGGCAGUUUAUCUUAGUCGGGUUAUGAGAAACUGCCAGCAGCUCAGUGUGUCAGACAAGCAACUGACAGACCUGUUAUUGAUGGAGAAGACACAAGAAGCAUAAAAGAUGCAGAUGGAACAUCGUCUUUCAAGACAGAAGCCUAUCAGGAAAUUCGCUCAACAUCUCAUGGCUCACAAGGCGGAGGAAUAAGAUACACUUCGGACUGGUUACUGUCACUUCGCCCUCACUGUAGGCUGCAGAGGGCUCAUGAGUGGUUCAGAGCCCUCCCUUUAUGAUCUUAACACGAACCAGCCUCUGAGCGCCACAGGCGCAGGCUGGGACCACGGAAGUGGGAGCUGAGAAGGAAGGAGAGGAACUCUGAGGAAGUGAAGGACAGACUGGAACACUCGAGCUGGGCACUUUGGGAGCUGCCGGUUACCAUUCAGACAUGGCCAAGUCCAACAACCACGCCACACACAACCAGUCCUGAGAACGGCACAGAAGCGGCACUAAGAAACCCCGGUCACAAAGAUGACGCGAACCUCUGGGGAACAGACGUUUUGCCAAGAAGCCAAGAAAGGCCUGAGGAAGACGCAGGCCAGCGAUGUGAAGGCAGUGGGUGAAGGCAGUGGGUGAAGAAGGCAGUGGGUGAAGGCAGUGGGUGCGUGCAGAGGCCGUCAGAGCCCCUGUGAAGCCCAAGGCAGCUAAGCCCAAGCUGCCAACGGGCCCAGGCUGCGAGCUCAGCCGUCUUGCUUUCUUCGCUCACCCCGAGCUGGGGAAGUGGAUUAGAAGCUGCAUGGCCAAGGGUCACAGGCUCUGCCAACCAAAGCCCAAGGUUCAAAUCAAGGCAGAGGCCUCCGCUCCAGCUCAGGCCCAGGCCCAAGCCUCAGCUGCAGCUCAGGCUCCCAAAGGUGCCCAGGCCCCUGUGAAGGCCCCAUAGAAAAGGUUUCUCUCUGCCAAUGUGAAGACAAAUGGACUGGUAUGACACACCUACACACUGUUUGCAGAUGAUCAGUGGCCUAUGUUGUUUUUACAAAUAAACUUGA